CGCCGCCCCUUCCCGCUGCCCUGGAAGCAGAUCCGGCCCGGAGUGCGGUCGGGGCCGCGGUGACUCGGCGUCCCGAGGCACAUUUUCCUCCCUCCAGGAGGAAGGCGGGUGUGGCGCCCGGGGUGCAUGAGGCUGCGCUGGCCACUCUCGGGAACGGGUUGGGGGCCCUUUUUUGUUUUCUUUUUUUUUAAAGCCUUUAAGAGGAAGCUGCCCUUGAUUUUUCUCUCUUCUGCUUUGAGCUUUGGGGAGGACUUGCUGGUGGCCCCUGGGUUACUUCAGUGUGGAGUCAGCCGCAGCACUGUGUGCCCCACGGAGGAGGAUGAGAGGUGGAGACAGGUAAGUAACACCAGCCACCUGUUACCUGCGUUCAGGCCUGCUGGCCGCUGCCUGAAUCGUGGCCGCGAAGUGAGGGCAAAGAAAGAGCAAAAAGACCACCCUGCGGACAAGAAGGACACUGGAAAAGGAAUGCCCUGCGAAGGGGCCUCCUCAAAAAUCAUGCUAGUGUGACUGCUAAAAGAUGGACUGUUCCGGGAGCUAGAGGAUCUCCAGACAAGAACCUACCCACACGAUGGCUUCGAACUGAAGGGGCCCUAUGUUCCAGUUAGCUCCUCCUAAGAACAUCAAAAUUGAAUUGACAGAGCCUUGGGUGACCCUUAAUGUGACAGAUCCUGAACCCUGAACCACGCGGGACAUGGGGGAACUCAUACACAGUAGCGGACGAGUAUCCUCAGCAAUCCCACUUCACUCUACCCUUAGGCUGCAGCCUUGGGAAUCUCACUUUUAAUUAUGCCUUUCUUAUAGACCGGGAUGCUUCAUUCCCUUAUUAGGGAGGGGCAUCUUGUCUAGUAUAAGCUUCUGGGUAAUUAAAACUGUAAACAAGGCUAAGGUAAUUGAAGGAAAUUUUGUUAAAGUGAGUCUUUUAAAAUAUUAUAUAUCCUCCUUCUGGAGGUCCAGGAGCUGCUGCGGCCCUGAGAACAAUGGGGAAUUAAUACCACCCCCAAACCCUGUGCAGGCUGGGGAAGCAGCAGAGGCAACUUUUUCUCCCCAUCUCAAUGUGAAAGGGAAAAGGGUACUUUAAAACCGAAGCCACUGAAAUACCCAAGCCAGAUAUUUCCCCUUGUCUCUUCUCCAGCCUCCUAAAAGUGGUCAAAGACACCAAAGGAAUGAUUCAUGUUAUCUCUGUUAUGCCUCUUAAAAACGUGAGUGUAUUUGCCAAUUAAAAAAAUGAUUUCUGAAAGUUAUUAAAUGUAUUGCUUUUAGUUGUCACUAAAAAUUAAGGUUUCUAAGAAUUAAGAAUUCUAAUUAAGUUGGGUGAAAAAGAAUGUGGUAUUGGUAAUAUAGAAUUGAAAGUGGUUUCUUUUAGCUAUAGCCGGUUUGGCUCAGUGAUAGAGCAUCAGCUUGCGGAUUAAAAGGUCCUGGGUUCGAUUCCAGUCAAGGGCAGAUGUUUGGGUUGUGGGUUCGAUUCCCAGUGGGGAGAGAGCAGAAG
Myotis myotis is the source of this 1486-nucleotide long non-coding RNA. RefSeq lists it as uncharacterized. The record is from RefSeq and is a predicted model, not a curated record. The transcript is spliced from 3 exons. NCBI's taxonomy places the organism in Eukaryota, Metazoa, Chordata, Mammalia, Chiroptera, Vespertilionidae.